GCAUCUUCAAGACCUUCUCAUGGAGAGUGUGAAUUUUUCCCCUGCCAAUCUGUCUAGCACUGGUUCCAGGUAUCUGAAUGCUUUGGUUGACAGUGCAGUGGCCCUUGAAACAAAGGACACCUCACUAGCAAGUUUUAUCCCUGCAGUGAAUGAUUUGACCUCUGAUCUUUUUCGUACCAAAUCCAAAAAUGAAGAGAUAAAGCUUGAAUUGGGAAAA
Molecule: non-coding RNA, 217 nt
Organism: Urocitellus parryii (Arctic ground squirrel)
Lineage: Eukaryota; Metazoa; Chordata; Mammalia; Rodentia; Sciuridae
Source: RefSeq, a predicted model, not a curated record